Molecule: ribosomal RNA, 1924 nt
Filed under: human oral metagenome
Description: bacterial LSU rRNA
Rfam family: Bacterial large subunit ribosomal RNA
Source: RNAcentral
GAGAGGGGAACAGCCCAGACCGCCCGCUAAGGCCCCCAAUUCCGCGCUGAGUGGCAAAGGAUGUGCGUUUGCCUAGACAACCAGGAUGUUGGCUUAGAAGCAGCCAUGCAUUCAAAGAGUGCGUAACAGCUCACUGGUCGAGUGGACAUGCGCCGACAAUACACGGGGCUAAGCGCGGAGCCGAAGCGGCGGGGCCGCGCCCUUUUUCGGGCGCGGCCGGUAGGGGAGCGUUCCGCGCAGGGGCGAAGCCGCCGGGGCGACCGGCGGUGGACCGCGCGGAAGCGAGAAUGCAGGCAUGAGUAACGAGAGAGGGGCGGGAAACCCCUCCGCCGUAAGCGCGAGGUUUCCUGGGCGAGGCUAAUCCCCCCAGGGUCAGUCGGGCGCUAAGGCGAGGCCGCAAGGCGUAGCCGAUGCCCAGCAGGCGGACAUUCCUGCACCGCCGCCGGACCGCUAGGACCGACGGGGCGACGAAGGAGGAUAGGCGGGCGGGGUUCUGGACGUCCCCGUGAAAGCGCGUAGGGCGGGCCGCAGGCAAAUCCGCGGCCCACGGAGCCUGAGACGCGAGACGAAGCCCUCGAGGCGAAGCCGCUCAUUCCAUGCUUCCGAGAAAAACCCCUAGGCAGGGCCGGCGGCGCCCGUACCUAAACCGACACAGGUGCGCGGGUAGAGCAUACCGAGGCGUUCGGGAGAACCAUGGCCAAGGAACUCGGCAAAACCGCCCCGUAACUUCGGGAGAAGGGGCGCCGCCGGGGGUGGAGGGGCGAGCCCCCCGAGCCCGCGGCGGCCGCAGCGAAUAGGCCCAGGCGACUGUUUACCAAAAACACAGGACUCUGCCAAGCCGCAAGGCGACGUAUAGGGUCUGACGCCUGCCCGGUGCCGGAAGGUCACGCGGAAGGGUCAGCGAAAGCGAAGCCCCGAAGCCAAGCCCCGGUAAACGGCGGCCGUAACUAUAACGGUCCUAAGGUAGCGAAAUUCCUUGUCGGGUAAGUUCCGACCUGCACGAAAGGCGUAACGACCUGGGCGCUGUCUCGGCCAUGGACCCGGUGAAAUUGCAUUAUUCGUGAAGAUGCGAAUUACCCGCGGAAGGACGGAAAGACCCCGUGAACCUUCACUGCAGCUUGGCAUUGGCCGACGGUUCGGUGCGUAGAGGAUAGGCAGGAGCCCGCGAAGCGGGGGCGCAAGCCCCCGCGGAGGCGCCCUUGGAAUACUGCCCCCAUCGCUCCGGCGGCCUAACGCGCGGCCGCCAUCCGGCGCGCGGACCGUGCCAGGCGGGCAGUUUGACUGGGGCGGUCGCCUCCCAAAAGGUAACGGAGGCGCGCGCAAGGUCCGCUCGGGACGGUCGGCAACCGUCCUGUGAGCGCAAGAGCACAAGCGGGCCUGACUGCGAGACCCACGAGUCGAGCAGGGACGAAAGUCGGCUCUAGUGAUCCGGCGGCCCCACGUGGGAGGGCCGUCGCUCAACGGAUAAAAGGUACUCCGGGGAUAACAGGCUGAUCUUGCCCAAGAGUCCACAUCGACGGCAAGGUUUGGCACCUCGAUGUCGGCUCAUCGCAUCCUGGGGCUGUAGUCGGUCCCAAGGGUUGGGCUGUUCGCCCAUUAAAGCGGUACGCGAGCUGGGUUCAGAACGUCGUGAGACAGUUCGGUCCCUAUCCUCUGUGGGCGUAGGAAAAUUGAGGGAGGCUGCCCCUAGUACGAGAGGACCGGGGUGGACGGACCUCCGGUGUACGGGUUGUUAACCAAUAGCAUUGCCCGGUAGCUGAGUCCGGUCGGGAUAACCGCUGAAAGCAUCUAAGCGGGAAGCCCAUCCCAAGAUGAGUUUUCCUUUCGGUAAGACCCCUUGUAGACUACGAGGUUGAUAGGAUGCAGAUGUAAGUGCUGUAAGGCAUUCAGUCGAGCAUUACUAAUCGGUCGAGCUCUUCUUUUC